GACGAACGCUGGCGGCGUGCCUAAUACAUGCAAGUUGAGCGCUGAAGGUUGGUACUUGUACCAACUGGAUGAGCAGCGAACGGGUGAGUAACGCGUGGGGAAUCUGCCUUUGAGCGGGGGACAACAUUUGGAAACGAAUGCUAAUACCGCAUAAAAACUUUAAACACAAGUUUUAAGUUUGAAAGAUGCAAUUGCAUCACUCAAAGAUGAUCCCGCGUUGUAUUAGCUAGUUGGUGAGGUAAAGGCUCACCAAGGCGAUGAUACAUAGCCGACCUGAGAGGGUGGUCGGCCACAUUGGGACUGGGACACGGCCCAAACUUCUACGGGAAGCAGCAGUAGGGAAUCUUCGGGAAUGGACGAAAGGCUGACCGAGCAACGCCGCGGGAGGGAAGAAGGGUGUCGGAUCGUAAAACUCCGUUGGUAGGGAAGAACGUUGGUGAGAGUGGAAAGCUCAUCAAGUGACGGUAACUACCCAGAAAGGGACGGCUAACUACGUG
Molecule: ribosomal RNA, 497 nt
Filed under: uncultured bacterium
Lineage: Bacteria
Description: partial 16S ribosomal RNA
Rfam family: Bacterial small subunit ribosomal RNA
Source: RNAcentral